Desmophyllum pertusum is the source of this 74-nucleotide non-coding RNA. The record is from the annotation of a GenBank genome assembly. NCBI's taxonomy places the organism in Eukaryota, Metazoa, Cnidaria, Anthozoa, Scleractinia, Caryophylliidae.
GGUGGCAUGGCUGAGUGGGUAAGGACGCUGGAUUUGAAAUCUGGAUGUCCCAGGUUCAAAUCCUCACCCUACCA